Molecule: ribosomal RNA, 392 nt
Filed under: uncultured eukaryote
Lineage: Eukaryota
Description: SSU rRNA
Rfam family: Eukaryotic small subunit ribosomal RNA
Source: RNAcentral
AACUUCAAAUGAUUAAAUUAAAGUUGUUGCAAUUAAAAAUCUUGUAGAUGAACUUGUGGCCUGGAUGGCCUGGAUAGCUUGGUCUGGCGCUUAUGCGUGAGUACUUGAGCCAUCCAAUCAUCCCUGGGUGGACCCUGUGUGGUAUUAAGUUGUCAUGUAGAGGAUGCCCAUUCUUUACUGUGAAAAACUAGAGUGUUCAAAGCAGGCUUAUGCCAUUGAAUAUAUUAGCAUGGAAUAAUGAUGUAGGACUUUUGUACUAUUUUGUUUGUUAGUGCACUAAAGUAUUGACUAAUAGAGACAGUUGGGAAUAUUAGUAUUGCUAGGUCAGUGGUGAAGUUCUUGGAUUCUUUAAAGACUAACUACAGCGAAAGCAUUUAUUAAGGAUGUUUUCA